Molecule: long non-coding RNA, 662 nt
Organism: Nymphaea colorata (pocket water lily)
Lineage: Eukaryota; Viridiplantae; Streptophyta; Magnoliopsida; Nymphaeales; Nymphaeaceae
Exons: 2
Source: RefSeq, a predicted model, not a curated record
GUCCUCCCUAAGGCCAGACUCGCUCUAUAAAUGGGGCCAAUUCGGCGUGCCUAAUUGGUACCCAGAGCAAUGGCAUCUCCUAAGUACAGCAGUCUUCUUCCGGCCCUCCUGUUCUCCUUUUGGCUAUUAUUAGCCUUUGGGGGAGUAGCACGAGCUGAAGAUGCAGUCUGCUAUUCAGCAAGCGGGCGGUUCCAUGGGUUGUGUUUUAGUAGCAGCAACUGCGCAAAUGUCUGUCAAGGUGAAGGCUUCACUGGCGGAGAUUGCCACCUCUUAGCAUGCCGGUGCUCGCGUCCAUGCCCUGCUAAAAACUAGCGGAGGCUGCCCAAUGGCCCUACCUAUUACACCGUCGAAUUAAUUAAAUAAAUCAUGUAGUAGGGUCCUCACGUGUUUUCUGCCGCUUGAUUUCAUCUGCUGCUACUACUCCAUCCUUGUUCUCCUUUGCCUUUGUGUAUCUGCCAUUAAGAAUAAAUAAAGCAGCCGCGUUUAUGUACCGACGUUCAUCCUUAUGUAUAAAAAAGGAUGUUUGUCACUGGUUUUUCUCUUGUAGUUCAUCAUGUAGAUCAAACAACUCUGGUUAGAUAGCUGAUUGAAUUUGAAAAACUAGAGUUACCAUUCAAUAUAUAUAUAUAUAUAUAUAUAUAUAGCCAUUUUCUGUUUUGCAA